Molecule: ribosomal RNA, 254 nt
Filed under: uncultured bacterium
Lineage: Bacteria
Description: partial 16S ribosomal RNA
Rfam family: Bacterial small subunit ribosomal RNA
Source: RNAcentral
UACAGAGGUCUCAAGCGUUGUUCGGAUUCAUUGGGCGUAAAGGGUGCGUAGGUGGCGCCGUAAGUCGGGUGUGAAAUUUCGGAGCUUAACUCCGAAACUGCAUUCGAUACUGCGGUGCUUGAGGACUGGAGAGGAGACUGGAAUUCAUGGUGUAGCAGUGAAAUGCGUAGAGAUCAUGAGGAAGACCAGUGGCGAAGGCGGGUCUCUGGACAGUUCCUGACACUGAGGACACGAAGGCCAGGGGAGCAAACGGG